Molecule: ribosomal RNA, 468 nt
Filed under: uncultured bacterium
Lineage: Bacteria
Description: partial 16S ribosomal RNA
Rfam family: Bacterial small subunit ribosomal RNA
Source: RNAcentral
GACGAACGCUGGCGGCGUGCUUAACACAUGCAAGUCGAACAGAAAGGCCCUGCUUUUGUGGGGUGCUCGAGUGGCGAACGGGUGAGUAACACGUGAGUAACCUGCCCUUGACUUUGGGAUAACUUCAGGAAACUGGGGCUAAUACCGGAUAGGAGCUCCUGCUGCAUGGUGGGGGUUGGAAAGUUUCGGCGGUUGGGGAUGGACUCGCGGCUUAUCAGCUUGUUGGUGGGGUAGUGGCUUACCAAGGCUUUGACGGGUAGCCGGCCUGAGAGGGUGACCGGCCACAUUGGGACUGAGAUACGGCCCAGACUCCUACGGGAGGCAGCAGUGGGGAAUAUUGCACAAUGGGCGGAAGCCUGAUGCAGCAACGCCGCGUGCGGAAUGACGGCCUUCGGGUUGUAAACCGCUUUCGCCUGUGACGAAGCGUGAGUGACGGUAAUGGGUAAAGAAGCACCGGCUAACUACGUG